UCGAACAUUCGCUGAUGAUAU
Molecule: non-coding RNA, 21 nt
Filed under: Caenorhabditis elegans
Lineage: Eukaryota; Metazoa; Nematoda; Chromadorea; Rhabditida; Rhabditidae
Source: RNAcentral